UUAUGAAGCCAUAUACCAUCUUGAGAACGCCACAUUUACUCUGAUGUCUGAAGCUAAGAAGGAUUGGGUCUGGUUAGUACUUGGAUGAGACACCGCCGGGAAUACCAGAUGCCACAGU
RNAcentral lists this ribosomal RNA (118 nucleotides) under Periophthalmus magnuspinnatus. The record is from RNAcentral. Lineage: Eukaryota; Metazoa; Chordata; Actinopteri; Gobiiformes; Gobiidae.